UUAAUUCGAAGCAACGCGCAGAACCUUACCAGCUCUUGACAUUCGGGGUUUGGGCAGUGGAGACAUUGUCCUUCAGUUAGGCUGGCCCCAGAACAGGUGCUGCAUGGCUGUCGUCAGCUCGUGUCGUGAGAUGUUGGGUUAAGUCCCGCAACGAGCGCAACCCUCGCCCUUAGUUGCCAGCAUUUAGUUGGGCACUCUAAGGGGACUGCCGGUGAUAAGCCGAGAGGAAGGUGGGGAUGACGUCAAGUCCUCAUGGCCCUUACGGGCUGGGCUACACACGUGCUACAAUGGUGGUGACAGUGGGCAGCGAGACAGCGAUGUCGAGCUAAUCUCCAAAAGCCAUCUCAGUUCGGAUUGCACUCUGCAACUCGAGUGCAUGAAGUUGGAAUCGCUAGUAAUCG
Molecule: ribosomal RNA, 401 nt
Filed under: uncultured bacterium
Lineage: Bacteria
Description: bacterial SSU rRNA
Rfam family: Bacterial small subunit ribosomal RNA
Source: RNAcentral